CCUCCUGUACUUCCUGUACAGCUCAUAUUACACUCUGAGCUAAUUCCGGUGCCCUCUGCACUGUGAAUUGACUGUCCCUCUGUUUCCCACGGAACAGUCCCAACAUUCCCAUUAUGUUUUGCUUUCAAGCUACCAGCUCGCGGCCGCAUUGCUUCUAUAUCGUAACAUACUCCCCCAUAUGAAUCAAUGUGCGCUACGAGCAAAGCGUGAUCCAGAGAAGAAAACAAACAGUUGUUAUACAUAUAACACUCGCCUGUUGUUUCAGUUCCACCCUUGGAACUACCCGCCACUGGUUUCUGUUGGGUUGAAAUCACGACAGACGAGUGGUGGGUGUCAAAGGAGAGGCGUCUGCCGCGGCAAGCCCCGGGAACUCUCUUUUAUUGAAUAUUACAAACAUUGCCACAGGUGUGCUUGUGGCUGAUUGGUUGAUACAAACACAAAGCAUCUUGUUGCUGAUUGGUUAACAUAGGUACAAGGCGGGAAUAACAUAUUACAUUAAUCACUGAUAGAUUAAAGACUGGGAACGGAGCUGGAACUAGACAGGCAUGAAACCUCCUAAUUAAAUGGUAACUAAAGAUUGAUAUUGAGAGAACAUAACAUGAAGGAAUACAACAAUCACGUUCCGUAGAUGUGGUCAGCAAAGCAUUAAGAACAGGUCAGAAUACACUGUUUCAUGAACUCAAUGGGAACUGUUCAGAACAUUCUCAGACUCUUGUGCAGAAGCAGAGAGAAGAUUAUGAGCGAGACUUCCCAGAAUGCACGAGAAAAAGCAAUAGUGCUAAAAGCAAGACUUUCCCACAAUGCCACAGUUAUGUGCAGUAAGAGAACUGCAGAAAGAAAAACUUCCCUUCAUCUUCCCCUUUCUUUUCUUGUUUGCGAGGCGUUCCAGGUGGAUAAGGCAAAAAUACUUCGGGAUUAGUGGUGUGCCAGCGAAUGCCCGAAAUAAGCUUGCCAGGGUCGAUGGGACAAAAAUACUUCAGGAUACAUGGUUUGCCAGCGCAUGCCCAAAAUAAAUCCGCCCACAUCUCCCCUAAGGUUUACUGUUGGUGUUGCCAUUUCGCAAAAUAGGCAGCAAGGAGUUUACUGGGUGGUUGAGGGGGAGAGAGAAGCCGAGAGAAAAGACUCAUGAGGCUAGGAACGCAUUGAAGGAAACAGCAUAGCAAAAUAAGAAUACAAAUUAUGAAAAUAGCAUAUUGAAAGAGACUACGAAGCCAAGUAAGGUUAGGCAGCCAAGCAGUAAGCCACUGGGUGAAAGAAUCCCAGAGGCCAGGAAAACCAAUGUCCUGUUUAAUGUGAUGUGUAAGAUUUUGCAAAUGAGAGAUUUGGCUUUGAAUGGCUCUUGAAUUGUCAGUAAUAUUGAAACAACACAUGUCAUUCACUUGUUCACAGCCAUAAUGAUGAAGCAUCAGCAAAUAAUCGAUAGCACGAUUUUGUAAAAGUCCAUUUUGUAGUUCACUGUUCUUUAUUCAAAAGGUGAAGGGCUUGAGAAGUAAAAUUCAAGGCUUUUUUGCUGCAGAAUAGGCUAAAAAAUUAAUGUUCAUACGAUUCCGUACAGCCAAUCCAGGGACUCCUAAGAGAGAAACAACUAAAGAGAUAUAUUCAGACCUACUGAGAAGAGAGACAAAAGCAUCACAAUCAUUAGUCAAUUCAAUAUUGCAGCGAUAAAAUGAUGGACAAACGGCUUAAACAGCAAGGUGUGCCAUGGCUGAUGUAUUGGCACAUGGUAGGGGAAUUCAGCAUUCCUUGUGGUAGGACUUUCCAUUGGUACCGUUCCGUGGGCUGACUGUUAUUUAACACAGGAACAGUAAAAGCAAAGAAUUUACGAUCUUUCUCCUGUAGGGGAAUGGAGAAAAAACAGUCUUGCAAAUCUAUUAUAGCCAAUUGAUAAGAAUGUGGAAUUAAAUUUGGAUUAGGCAGACCACAUUGCAAAGGCCCCAUGGGUUCAAGGAUUUGGUUUAUUUUCCUUAAAUCCUGGAGAAAUCUCCAUUUGCCACUCUUCUUUUUAUGACGAAGAUGGGUGUAUUAUAGGGGCUAACUGAAGGCUCAAUAUGGUCUGCCGAUAAUUGUUCAUUCACUAAUUGUUUUAAAGCAAGUAACUUUUCUCCUGUUAUGGGCCAUUGUUCCACCCAUACAGGACUGGUAGAUUUCCAGCUGAGGGGAAGUGCAAGCUUACUCAUUAAAUUGAAUGGUAGCUUGUAAUUGCUGUAGCAAGUCUCUUCCCCACAGAUUGAGGUGGAUUUUCAGCACACAGGGCUGGAUGUAAGCAAUGGUUUCAGAGCUAUCAGGCAGAGAAACAGGCAGCAACACUAUGCAUUAUGAAGAGGUAAGGCGGCCACCCACACCCCAGACAGCAGAGGCAGACUCAAGGGGCCACGUGGGGUCCCAGCAACUACUAGAAAUUACAGAAACGUCUGCGCCUGUGUCAAUCAAGCCUUCCAGCACAAUACCAUUGAUUUUAUACUUACGAAGAAGUUUCUUCUCACCAAUCCUCUGGACUACAGCUAACAGCUGUGGAGGGAAAGAAGAGAGCUCGUGCAAAUUAGUAUCCAUAAUAGAAGCAGUAGGAUGAGAAGGAGCACCACCAAAUGCGCCCAAGACUCACCCUUUUUAAUUGCAUGGGCAUAUGGCUCCAGAGUUGAACCAUUAUUGUGCCUACAUAGUCAGGAUCCAGAACUCCAGGGAUAACCUGGAUUCCUUCCUUUGCCGCAGAAAAUUUGGGUAAAAUUAAACCUGCGACGUUAGGAGGCAGGGGGCCUGCCAAUUGAGUGGGCAUAAGCACAAUUUCACCAGGUAAAACAGAGUCUUUGGUCUCCUGAUUGAUCAAAUCAAUGGCAAAUUCAGAGGGUGUGUUUUUUGAAAAGUUUGCAGCAGCAGAAAUUAAAGGUGGAAAUCUCUCUAAUUGCCCUGGCCCGAGAGUGGGGCCGUAAUGGAGUUUCCCGAACUCCUGCAUUGAUUAGCCCAAUGAUAGCCUUUGCCACAUUUCGGGCACUUUUUAGAAGGUUUAGCCUUAGAGGCAGCACCAUCCUUGUGUGCCCCCCCCCCCGCCAGGGGCUCUGCAUUGCUUGGCAAAAUGGCCUGGGCGCUUGCAAUUAAAGCAGUUACCAGUAGGCCUAGUGGUUGCUUGGAUUGCGCCGGCAAGCAAAGACAUCGCAUGGCUCUGGCUACCGACAUCCGCACAAGCUUGAAUCAUAUCGGCCAGGUCAUAUUUAGGGCGAUGUAUGAUUGACUGCAAAGCUUUCUUGCAAUCAGUGUUUGCGUUUUCAAAGGCCAAUUUUUUCAUCAAUUCAUUUUGAGCAGUGGUGUUAUCAAUCUGCCUAGUGACUGAUUCUUUCAAUCUAUCUAUAAACUGAUGGUAUGGCUCCGAAUGCUGUUGCUUAAUAUUUACAAAGGAGCUCAGCGGUUGCCCAGAGACAGGGACUUUCCGACAGGCGCGUUGUACACAGGUCGCGGUGCGAACAAAAUGUACAGGUGUCAGUGUUGCUUGGGCAGUUAUAUCAGCAAACUGACCAGCACCAUAAAGUUCAUUGGCAGUAUGUUGAGGAUCAGACAGGGCUGAAGCGCUAUGUUUAAAUUCACUCUCAAACACCACAUACUGAGCAGGGGACAAAAGCAUGCGCAUCAGGUCUUUCCAGUCCUGAGGUAGCAUAAUGUAACCAGUUGCUAUGCCUUCUAGGAUUCCUGUCACAUAAGAGGAUUUUAGACCAGAAUCAGCAAUGGCUUUCCUUAAUUCUCUCAUUACAGAAUAAGGAAGCGAUUCAUAAAAAACCUGCUGUUGAGCAGUUCCAGGGUUUGAAUAGGUGAUAGGGAAAGCAGACGGCAUUUCACCUGGCCACUCAGACUCCUCCUCUAAGGACAGGAGUCCUUUCUGCCUGGCCAAAGAGAGCGCAGUGCGCACAGCUCCUAUAGAGCAAACAGGGGCUGUGGCAGACGGAGAAGGGAUGGGGGGGAGGAAUCAGGCUGAGGUGGAGGGAUGGGGGGGGAGGAUGCAGGCUGAGGAGGGAGAGACGCAGGGGGGGAUUGGGUGGGCUGCAAAGGAAACGGAGGCAAAAGCUUCGGGUAAGGUGGGGGAUUGUCUGCGAUGGCGAAAAGUGCGGGGGCCGAGCGAGACGCCUGUGGUAAUUUAGCAACGGCAUCUGCACAUUUCUGCCAAGUGAGCAGACAAUGAAUCAGAGCCCUAGGUUCUGCAAAAAGGGUCUUUCCGAUCUUUUGCCAAGUCUCUACGUCCAAAGAACCAGCCUCUGGAUAAAAGGGACAUUCUAAAGCGAUCUCACAUAGCAAUUGUUCAAUUUCUUUUAAGGAAAUAUUAACACCCACCUCCCGCUGUCUGACUAAAUAAAGCAAUUCUUUAGCAUGCUCUUUCUGGAAUUUAGUCAAUUCCCCUCCCAUACUCACGAAGUAGCGCUGAGACUUGUCCAGUCGGGUGAAGUAUGAGGUUUGGCUGCGUAAGGGAUCUGGCACGUCAGGGGUCACCAGAUGUUGGGUUGAAAUCACGACAGACGAGUGGUGGGUGUCAAAGGAGAGGCGUCUUCCCGGGGCAAGCCCCGGGAACUCUCUUUUAUUGAAUAUUACAAACAUUGCCACAGGUGUGCUUGUGGCUGAUUGGUUGAUACAAACACAAAGCAUCUUGUUGCUGAUUGGUUAACAUAGGUACAAGGCGGGAAUAACAUAUUACAUUAAUCACUGAUAGAUUAAAGACUGGGAACGGAGCUGGAACUAGACAGGCAUGAAACCUCCUAAUUAAAUGGUAACUAAAGAUUGAUAUUGAGAGAACAUAACAUGAAGGAAUACAACAAUCACGUUCCGUAGAUGUGGUCAGCAAAGCAUUAAGAACAGGUCAGAAUACACUGUUUCAUGAACUCAAUGGGAACUGUUCAGAACAUUCUCAGACUCUUGUGCAGAAGCAGAGAGAAGAUUAUGAGCGAGACUUCCCAGAAUGCACGAGAAAAAGCAAUAGUGCUAAAAGCAAGACUUUCCCACAAUGCCACAGUUAUGUGCAGUAAGAGAACUGCAGAAAGAAAAACUUCCCUUCAGGUUUCCCCAGUGUACCUCUCUGGUUGUCUGUCUUCCAAGGAAUGAGUGCAUCUGCAUUACCUUGGCUAGGGAAUGUAGUGUUACGCUUAGCAACUCUCUGUUGUGUCUUUGUCUCUGACUUAGACACUGCUUCAACCUGUCUUGAGUUGUCAACAAUAGUAACACAUGCUACAGCUGAGUUAGCAAACUCUUUUGAAUACCUCUUGGGUGGUACACCCUUUGUAACUCUCUCGGACCUGCGUAUGAGGUGCUGAUCCUCUCUGCUCACUGGUUCAGUCUCAGGACUCUUUGGAGAACCAGUUCCGAUAGUAAACAGUGGUUCAUCCUUCACCUGUGAAGGUCUUUCCAUUGUGUGAUAUUUCCUC
This 5396-nucleotide long non-coding RNA is filed under the name Podarcis lilfordi (Lilford's wall lizard). The record is from RNAcentral. Lineage: Eukaryota; Metazoa; Chordata; Lepidosauria; Squamata; Lacertidae.